CACCGACUGUGUAACACCGUAAAUAGAAGUAAUCUGUAAGUAGUAACUAUAUUUAAAUUUUUGAAUGAUAAGCUGAACAUCACGUAUAUUUAUACCCAUAUAUAUGGAACACUGUUUGCUGUUUCAAGCAUUAAAAAUAUGAUAUUUUAUGAAAUUCUUUGCAGUAAACUGAAACUAUUGAUUUAGCUUUAAGCAGAUUGUGAUCACAUUAACCUAUUUGAGAGAGGGAGAGGAUGAGAGAGAGAUUAUAAGUAUGCUAAAUGAAAUUGAUAAUGUAUUUUUUUAUUACUUUUAGAAGUUAUUGUAUCCGAUAUGACACAGUAUGAAAGACUGCUUAGGGCUAUUUUUGUGCUGCCAUUUUCAGCAGGAGACCCAAAGAAUCAGUAUCUAAAUGGAAUAGUCACUCAUGACGGAAGUGUUUCUGGUGUAGUGUUUCUUAUUAGCAUUGUUGUAAUUCUUUGUGAAAUAUUAUUGAUUGGAUCAUUCGGGACUGAGCAGGAUUCUACGUUUCUUUUCGUUAUAACAAUGGAAGUGACCUCUGGUCUUGCUAUAUUGAUUUGCAUAAUUCUAUAUAUCUAUGCAUCAUUUAAACCAGAUAUACUAGAAACAAACGAGAGCUGGGAUGUUAAAAACAUCAUCAUGAUGAAGUUUCUAUGGCUGUUUACCUUAGCUAGUUUGACAUAUAGUGGAAUUUACAUUGCAUAUCAUGCUGAUUGUCUUAUAAAUAAUUAUCCACUUGACGAUGUCAGAAAUCGUAUUCUUUGCGACGUUUUUCUGUUGACUUAUAGAUCAGUCCAAACAGGGUUUUUAACCUACUUUUCACAACGAGUGUUUGUGCGUAAACUCAGAUUCUAUUACGGAUUGCUUGUCUUAUUUUUAAUUAACAUUACAGUUAUUGUAAUAGACUUUGCUCACUCGGUCCGGGACGUUCAAAACUUCAGUAUAAAUAACACACAAAUCGCUAAACCAAAUACAUGUGCAAGCAAUUCAUCUGUUAGUUCAGUUUUGCUGGAUGUAAAGAAUUUCUUGGAACCUGCUGAACUUGAAUAUUCUUUAUUGACUAUUUUAUUUAUUACACAGCUAUGGCCAAAGAAGAAAAACAGUAAUGUAGUGUGUAAAAUUCGCAAUGGUGUUACUGGUGGUGAAUAUGAACCUUUAAUCUGUGUAAAUGAUAAUGCAGCAGUGUAUGAUAACAUUCCUUGUAGUCCGAAUUCCGAAAAACCUAAACGCAUGACAAUGAUAUUCGUAAAUAUUGCAUUCCCCGUGCUUAUUUCCAUACCAAGCUCUAUUUUACUGAUUAUGAAAAUCUACGCUCCAAAAGACGAAUCAUUAAAUAACUUAUUAAACAUCUUUAAUGGACUUCAAGUGACUAUACUUUUGUUUGUUUUAAUCAAUUGCUUUUAUUUACUCCAGUCAGACUGCAAACCGACCAAAGUGGAAAGCCAUUUUACAUCUAAAGACUAUCUUAUUCUUGUAAGUUUUGUUGGAGCGUUAUGUUUGUAUACAAUGAGAUUAAUUCCAUAUAUUUUACUUUUACAUACAGAUAAUCAAAAUCCAACUAAAACCUAUACGUAUGUUAUAGUGAUUAUUGGUAUUUAUUUUCAAACUGUUUUCUUAUUCCAAAUGAAAAACUAUGGAAAGGCGGAAAUCAAGUCAUCAUGGAUAUCAAUAGAGUAUACUUGUCUGUUUAUAUCCGUUGUCAACCUGAUGAUAUGGGUAGAGGAUUCAUUUAUUGCCGCCCGUUGGUUAUUUCGUGAUGACGCACCAUCAAUUUUCUAUGGUAACAAGGUGUGGGUUAUAUAUUUUACUCUGCUUUUUCCUUUCGUUAUUUUUUACCGUUUUAAAUGUUUUGUGGCAUUUUAUGGCUUGUAUCACAGACUGUCAAAAUGAAAGUUUAGAGGCAAAUUAAAAAUUAAAAACGAUUUGUCACAUGAAACUUGUUAAAUUUUAUUACAAACGUGACAAUUUGAAAUGAUACGUACAAAGAAGGAUAAUUCUUUUCUGUAUGAUGGCCAUCCGAUUGGUGUCGUUAUUACCGCCAUUUAAUUA
RNAcentral lists this long non-coding RNA (2049 nucleotides) under Mytilus galloprovincialis (Mediterranean mussel). The record is from RNAcentral. Lineage: Eukaryota; Metazoa; Mollusca; Bivalvia; Mytilida; Mytilidae.